GAAAUAAGAUUUUAAAUGAGUGCUAAGAGAAUGGUUAAACAAUUAAAAGCUUUCUUUAAUUAAAAAAUUAAAUUUAAUUUUUUAGUGCAAAAGCAAAAAUAAAAUUUAGGGACAAGAAGACCCUAUGAAUUUUUAUUGUUAAUAAUUAAAAUUUAAGUUAUUAAUAAUUUAAUUGGGGCGAUAAAAAAAGAAUAAGUAUCUUUUUAGUUAUAAAAUAAGUUCCGUUUUUAGCGAUUAAAUGAAAUAAAUACUCUAGGGAUAACAGCGUAAUAAUUUUGGAUAGUUCAUAUAGAUAAAAUAGUUUGCGACCUCGAUGUUGGAUUAGGAUUCUU
RNAcentral lists this ribosomal RNA (332 nucleotides) under Ixodes scapularis (black-legged tick). RNAcentral's name for it is "partial 16S ribosomal RNA". The record is from RNAcentral. Lineage: Eukaryota; Metazoa; Arthropoda; Arachnida; Ixodida; Ixodidae.